GUGAUUUGUCUGCUUAAUUGCGAUAACGAACGAGACUCUGGCCUACUAAAUAGUCGGUCCGGCUUCCUUGUGCAGCCGGCGAUGACAAAUCUUCUUAGAGGGACAAACGGCUUUUAGCCGUACGAGAUUGAGCAAUAACAGGUCUGUGAUGCCCUUAGAUGUCCUGGGCCGCACGCGCGCUACAAUGGAGGUGUCAGCGUGUCUUCCCUGGCCGAGAGGCUCGGGUAACCCGCUGAAACACCUUCGUGCUUGGGAUUGUGGCUUGAAAUUGUUCCACAUGAACGAGGAAUUCCCAGUAAAGGCGCGUCAUUAGCACGCCUUGAUUACGUCCCUGCCCUUUGUACACACCGC
This 351-nucleotide ribosomal RNA is filed under the name Schizochytrium aggregatum. RNAcentral describes it as "partial Eukaryotic small subunit ribosomal RNA". It matches the Rfam family "Eukaryotic small subunit ribosomal RNA", at positions 1306 to 1672 of the family's 1831-position model. Lineage: Eukaryota; Bigyra; Thraustochytrida; Thraustochytriidae. The record is from RNAcentral.